RNAcentral lists this ribosomal RNA (421 nucleotides) under Campylobacter jejuni. RNAcentral describes it as "bacterial LSU rRNA". It matches the Rfam family "Bacterial large subunit ribosomal RNA", at positions 1889 to 2307 of the family's 2925-position model. The record is from RNAcentral. Lineage: Bacteria; Pseudomonadati; Campylobacterota; Epsilonproteobacteria; Campylobacterales; Campylobacteraceae.
GUUAGCAGUAAUGCGAAGCGUUGAAUUGAAGCCCGAGUAAACGGCGGCCGUAACUAUAACGGUCCUAAGGUAGCGAAAUUCCUUGUCGGUUAAAUACCGACCUGCAUGAAUGGCGUAACGAGAUGGGAGCUGUCUCAACCAGGGAUUCAGUGAAAUUGUAGUGGAGGUGAAAAUUCCUCCUACCCGCGGCAAGACGGAGAGACCCCGUGGACCUUUACUACAGCUUGGCACUGCCGAUGGGAGCAUUAUGCGCAGGAUAGGUGGGAGGCUUUGAAAUCUUCACUCUGGUGGAGAUGGAGCCAUCCUUGAGAUACCACCCUUAAUGUUUCUGUCUGCUAACUGGCUAGAGUUAUCCUCUAGCAGGACAAUGCCUGGUGGGUAGUUUGACUGGGGCGGUCGCCUCCUAAAAAGUAACGGAGGC